This 481-nucleotide ribosomal RNA is filed under the name uncultured bacterium. Its description in RNAcentral is "bacterial SSU rRNA". It matches the Rfam family "Bacterial small subunit ribosomal RNA", at positions 30 to 507 of the family's 1533-position model. The record is from RNAcentral.
AUUGAACGCUGGCGGAAUGCUUUACACAUGCAAGUCGAACGGUAGAGGGGGCAACCCCUUGAGAGUGGCGAACGGGUGAGUAAUAUAUCGGAACGUGCCCAGUCGUGGGGGAUAACGUAGCGAAGGUUACGCUAAUACCGCAUACGAUCUACGGAUGAAAGCGGGGGACCGUAAGGCCUCGCGCGAUUGGAGCGGCCGAUAUCAGAUUAGGUAGUUGGUGGGGUAAAGGCUCACCAAGCCAACGAUCUGUAGCUGGUCUGAGAGGACGACCAGCCACACUGGAACUGAGACACGGUCCAGACUCCUACGGGAGGCAGCAGUGGGGAAUUUUUGGACAAUGGACGCAAGUCUGAUCCAGCCAUUCCGCGUGCAGGAUGAAGGCCCUCGGGUUGUAAACUGCUUUUGUACGGAACGAAAAGGUUUCCAUUAAUACUGGGAGCUCAUGACGGUACCGUAAGAAUAAGCACCGGCUAACUACGUG